This 497-nucleotide ribosomal RNA is filed under the name uncultured bacterium. Its description in RNAcentral is "partial 16S ribosomal RNA". It matches the Rfam family "Bacterial small subunit ribosomal RNA", at positions 28 to 507 of the family's 1533-position model. The record is from RNAcentral.
GACGAACGCUGGCGGCGUGCCUAAUACAUGCAAGUAGAACGCUGAAGAGAGGGGCUUGCUCUUCUUGGAUGAGUUGCGAACGGGUGAGUAACGCGUAGGUAACCUGCCUUGUAGCGGGGGAUAACUAUUGGAAACGAUAGCUAAUACCGCAUAACAAUGGAUGACACAUGUCAUUUAUUUGAAAGGGGCAAUUGCUCCACUACAAGAUGGACCUGCGUUGUAUUAGCUAGUAGGUGAGGUAAUGGCUCACCUAGGCGACGAUACAUAGCCGACCUGAGAGGGUGAUCGGCCACACUGGGACUGAGACACGGCCCAGACUCCUACGGGAGGCAGCAGUAGGGAAUCUUCGGCAAUGGGGGCAACCCUGACCGAGCAACGCCGCGUGAGUGAAGAAGGGUUUCGGAUCGUAAAGCUCUGUUGUAAGUCAAGAACGGGUGUGAGAGUGGAAAGUUCACACUGUGACGGUAGCUUACCAGAAAGGGACGGCUAACUACGUG